Molecule: long non-coding RNA, 698 nt
Organism: Triticum aestivum (bread wheat)
Lineage: Eukaryota; Viridiplantae; Streptophyta; Magnoliopsida; Poales; Poaceae
Exons: 4
Source: RefSeq, a predicted model, not a curated record
CGCAGUGGCCUCGCUGAACGCCAUCUUCUCGAGGUGGGGCCUGCGGGCGUCCACGGCGUGGAACAUCAAUGGCGAGCCUUGCAGCGGUGCCGCCAUCGACAACACCGACAUAGAUAAUGAUCAUGAAUUCAAUCCUGCCAUUAAGUGCAUCUGCUCCUACAACGCCAGCACCAUCUGCCACAUCACCAGGCUGAAAGUAUAUAGACUAGAUGUGGUUGGUCAGAUUCCUGCGGAACUGCAAAAUCUAACUUACCUGACAAACCUGUAUGAACUAUUUCCACCAUGAAGCUUCAAAGCUAAUGGACGUCCACUUAAAGCGUUACACAAGCUCAUAAUCACAAGAUGCAGUUCCCCUUGUUAGUGUCUGCUGCAUGCCUGCAUGCCAUUAGCGGGCGAGAAAGGGAGUACAGCAGGCUUUUAUAGACUAUCUGUUAUAGUCUUACAACUAUAGGAAUUUAGCGCAGAAUUACUUGACUGGAUCUUUACCAACAUUUCUUGAAAAGCUGGCUCAGUUGCAGUAUCUACAUUUGGGAACCAAUGCAUUAACUGGAGUUUUACCGAGGGAGCUGGGUAACCUCGAGAAUCUCAUUUCGCUGUAAGAUAAUAUAUCUCUUGUUAUUGUGGCAACUCAAAUCAAAUUCAAAUAUAUUGUAGCCAUGUGGAGCUUUUCGGUCUGUUGGUUCAUUUUAUUUGUGAUG